AUUGAACGCUGGCGGCAUGCUUUACACAUGCAAGUCGGACGGCAGCACAGAGAAGCUUGCUUCUUGGGUGGCGAGUGGCGAACGGGUGAGUAACAUAUCGGAACGUACCGAGCAGUGGGGGAUAACUAAUCGAAAGAUUAGCUAAUACCGCAUAUCUUCUGAGGAAGAAAGCAGGGGACCAUUUGGCCUUGCGCUGUUUGAGCGGCCGAUAUCUGAUUAGCUAGUUGGUGGGGUAAAGGCCUACCAAGGCGACGAUCAGUAGCGGGUCUGAGAGGAUGAUCCGCCACACUGGGACUGAGACACGGCCCAGACUCCUACGGGAGGCAGCAGUGGGGAAUUUUGGACAAUGGGCGCAAGCCUGAUCCAGCCAUGCCGCGUGUCUGAAGAAGGCCUUCGGGUUGUAAAGGACUUUUGUCAGGGAAGAAAAGGGCGGGGUUAAUACCCCUGUCUGAUGACGUACCUAAGAAUAGCCCC
Molecule: ribosomal RNA, 474 nt
Filed under: Neisseria sicca
Lineage: Bacteria; Pseudomonadati; Pseudomonadota; Betaproteobacteria; Neisseriales; Neisseriaceae
Description: bacterial SSU rRNA
Rfam family: Bacterial small subunit ribosomal RNA
Source: RNAcentral